GGAAAUGGCAAGAGGGAAUUGGAUGUCAUAUAAGAGAACAACAAUUGUUAUUUGUUCAAUCAAUAUUUUUGUUGCUCUUUAUGUGCUUCAUUCUCUAUAUACUUCUGUAUAUAUGUACCCAUUCAGUGAUACUCAAAAAGCUUUUAAGUAUACCCCACAGCAGAUUAGGAAAAUGGAAGAGUCAAUUCAAUUGCGGAAACAACUAGAACCUGU
This 213-nucleotide unclassified non-coding RNA is filed under the name Hevea brasiliensis (rubber tree). Lineage: Eukaryota; Viridiplantae; Streptophyta; Magnoliopsida; Malpighiales; Euphorbiaceae. The record is from RNAcentral.